UUUUCAUACUUUUUCUCAUCUUUAUCUAGCCAUUUCAUUGGGCUUAGGAGCCUCCUAGGAGCAUUGGAACACAUGAUCACUUGAGCUUCAAAACAAGAAGAGUUAGUGACAUAUUUUUGUGCUUUUUGUUAGUAAUCAAAUAAUUAGAGCAACAAUAUACAAUACAAGCAUGCUUGGUGGUCUCAAACCACUGACACAAGUCCCAACCCUAGGGUUAAGGAGCCAAACAUGCUAUGAUCCUUGAGGCAAUGCACUUGUGCAAUAACAUGAUGCCAUGAGGGAU
RNAcentral lists this long non-coding RNA (283 nucleotides) under Lathyrus oleraceus (garden pea). RNAcentral describes it as "Pisum sativum (pea) long non-coding RNA (PSAT_LNC033391)". The record is from RNAcentral. Lineage: Eukaryota; Viridiplantae; Streptophyta; Magnoliopsida; Fabales; Fabaceae.